This is a non-coding RNA of Equus caballus (horse), 1971 nucleotides long. NCBI's taxonomy places the organism in Eukaryota, Metazoa, Chordata, Mammalia, Perissodactyla, Equidae. The record is from RefSeq and is a predicted model, not a curated record.
CAGGCCGCUGAGAAGCGGAACGUGCGCACUCAACUGCUGCGCCACCAGGCCAGCCCCUGGUGGCCAGUUUUUAAUUGUUAAAGUAUUUCAGAUGUAGGAAUUCUUUUAACUCACUGUCUCUUUCUCUCUGUUUUCAUUUAGAUAUUCAACCUGAAUUUUUCCAAUGAAAUAAUUUAUUCAGUCUCUCUGUCUUUCAAUCUUUUCAUAGAUAGAAGACUUGUAAGUAUUGGAUUGGCCGUAGAAUAUUGGGUUAUAUGAAUCACAUUCAGUAAUGAAUGAAAGGGAGACUAUGAGUGGUGGCCCUAUCUUGCAGGGCUCUCUAAAUUCUUAUAGUGGUAUCAAAGUUCUGCUAAAUAUAAUCCUGGAAUUAAGACAAACUCUAGAUAAGGAUGUUCAAACAGUAUAUUUUAAAGCCAGCAUCUUAGACCUGGUUAUGCCCCUGGUGUGUUCUCCCUGUGGGAGCAGCUAGUCUGGGGUAAAAACCUGAAGGCCUCCUGAGGAGUUUAAAGAUAUAGGAUUCUCUAAAGAUAUGAUAUUGGUGUAGAUAUCUGGACUAGAUUAAUUCAUUCAAUCAUUCACUCAUCACAUAUUUAUUUGGCACUUGCUGUGGGCCAGGUUCUGUGCUGGAGAUGCAACAGUAUGGUAAGAGCUCAGAGACACACAGGCUUACAGCCCAGGAGGCAACAGAACAUCAUUUGAAGAACUGAAGAACCGACAACAAUGUGGGGACUUUCAAAGGAGAAGCACAGCUGCCCUAGAAGGGGUCUUGAGAGGCAGAACUGACCAAGGCUGGGGGUCAAGGCAGGCUUCCUGGAGGAAAUCAGACCAGCUGAAUGGGACAUAGUAGGGGGUGGUGUGUUCCAGGCAUGGAGAUGGGACAGAGAAGAGAAGAUGAGGGCUGAGGUGCCUGCAGGGGAGUCACGCUAAGGGGUUUGCACUUUUAUACUGACGGUGUUGGGAAGGGGUGGAAGAGAUUAAGCUUGUCACAUGUGGCCUGGAUCUCACUCACACUGAUGGAUUGCCCUCUCCUGUUUUGCUGGGGACAAGAGCCAGUCACUGUGAUGUGGGGGGCGGGCAAGGGGGACGCUGUACCAUCAGGACAGAGGAGGAUUCAACAGCCAGGUGGCCCUAAGUCAAGAGAAAUCCCCUCUCCUUCACAGUUUUGCACGGGGGCUCUGUGUUUCUUAAACUGUCGCCAGUAAACAAAAGCUGUGCAUGGGUGUGUUUGCAGUUUCUCAUGACUGCACUCACACAGCAUCGGAAACACUGGCUUGACUCUAUAGCCUUAGUUUCAAAUGCCCCCUAAAAGGCUCUACAAAAUGGUGUCAGCAAACUAUGUGAAAGUCAUCAAGAACAAACAAACUAAAUUUCAUGCCUCUUGGUUUAAGGCUACCUGUUUAAGAAGGCAGCAGAUCUGAUUCAGCUGUGUACCAUUCUGUGGGUUCUCUACAACCCUCAAACAUCCACGUACAGGGUCGCAGUCUCUCUGCUGGUGCAGAGCACUUGGCAAAAGAUAGCUUCCACUGAGUGCUCCAUGCUCUCCCACAAGCCCUCCUGGAACCAGAGAACUUGGCAAGAUUAAGGAUGUUGUUAAAAAAGGAUGUUCUGAGCCAAACUUGUCCAGUGAGAUAGUGGCCGGAAGGAAACUAGUAAACUAAACUUGGCACAUUGAUGCCUCUCAUUGGCACACCUGCAGCCACCAUGUUGUGAUGAUCCUCAAACAGCCCUGUGGAGAGGCCAAUGCAUGAAGAGGCCAUGUGGAAAGGAACAAACUUGCCAGCCGGAUGAGUGAGCCACCUUGAAAGCAGAUUCUCCUGCCUCAGUCAAAACUUCAGAUGAUUCCUGGCCCCAAUCUCAAAGUCUUUCAGCUGAGACCUCAGAUAACGUGAAGAAACGAACCAUCUCUGCUGUGCCCUAUUUGAAUAUCUGACCCACAGAAACCAUGAAAUAAUAAAUUGUUCUUUCAAACGA